GGCCAUGUGGCCCAAUGGCAAGGCGCUUGACUACGAUCUACUGCGUUAUCAAGAGAUUCCAGGUGUGCAUUACAUAAUCUAAUGAUCACGUGAUCACGCUAAAAUCAACAUAGGUUCGACCCCUGGCAUGGUCA
Bimuria novae-zelandiae CBS 107.79 is the source of this 134-nucleotide non-coding RNA. The record is from the annotation of a GenBank genome assembly. Lineage: Eukaryota; Fungi; Ascomycota; Dothideomycetes; Pleosporales; Didymosphaeriaceae.